GCCGGUGUGAUGGAAUGGUAGACGUGACGGACUCAAAAUCCGUUGGUAGCGAUACCGUGUGGGUUCGAGUCCCACCACCGGCACCA
RNAcentral lists this transfer RNA (86 nucleotides) under Oscillibacter sp. RNAcentral's name for it is "tRNA-Leu". It matches the Rfam family "tRNA". From Rfam's summary of the family: Transfer RNA (tRNA) molecules are approximately 80 nucleotides in length. Lineage: Bacteria; Bacillati; Bacillota; Clostridia; Eubacteriales; Oscillospiraceae. The record is from RNAcentral.